This 107-nucleotide small nuclear RNA is filed under the name Notamacropus eugenii (tammar wallaby). Lineage: Eukaryota; Metazoa; Chordata; Mammalia; Diprotodontia; Macropodidae. The record is from RNAcentral.
GCGCUUGCUUCGGUAGCACAUAUACUAAAAUUAGAAUGAUACAGAGAAGGUUAACAUGGCCCCUGAGCAAGGAUGACACGCAAAUUUGUGAAGCGUUCCAUAUUUUU